This 497-nucleotide ribosomal RNA is filed under the name uncultured bacterium. RNAcentral describes it as "partial 16S ribosomal RNA". It matches the Rfam family "Bacterial small subunit ribosomal RNA", at positions 28 to 507 of the family's 1533-position model. The record is from RNAcentral.
GAUGAACGCUGGCGGCGUGCCUAAUACAUGCAAGUCGAGCGAACAGACGAGGAGCUUGCUCCUCUGACGUUAGCGGCGGACGGGUGAGUAACACGUGGAUAACCUACCUAUAAGACUGGGAUAACUUCGGGAAACCGGAGCUAAUACCGGAUAAUAUAUUGAACCGCAUGGUUCAAUAGUGAAAGACGGCUUUGCUGUCACUUAUAGAUGGAUCCGCGCCGCAUUAGCUAGUUGGUAAGGUAACGGCUUACCAAGGCGACGAUGCGUAGCCGACCUGAGAGGGUGAUCGGCCACACUGGAACUGAGACACGGUCCAGACUCCUACGGGAGGCAGCGGUAGGGAAUCUUCCGCAAUGGGCGAAAGCCUGACGGAGCAACGCCGCGUGAGUGAUGAAGGUCUUCGGAUCGUAAAACUCUGUUAUUAGGGAAGAACAAAUGUGUAAGUAACUAUGCACGUCUUGACGGUACCUAAUCAGAAAGCCACGGCUAACUACGUG